This is a long non-coding RNA of Brienomyrus brachyistius, 2255 nucleotides long. RefSeq lists it as uncharacterized. The transcript is spliced from 2 exons. Lineage: Eukaryota; Metazoa; Chordata; Actinopteri; Osteoglossiformes; Mormyridae. The record is from RefSeq and is a predicted model, not a curated record.
ACACGUACGAGUAACAUGGUAACAUGCGUUCGUAAGAUGAAUGCCCGGAAGAGGGUAAAGUGAGGAUGCAGGCAGCUGGCACAAGGGAGGCAGCGCGAAUAGUUUAGUUCAUUCGGUUUGUUAACUUAUCAGCCGAAAUCUCCCCUUCUGUUACAUUUGAGAGUGUGCGUGGAUAUACAAGUGUUGCAUUACAGAAAACUUUUAUUAUUAGUUACUUGCGCACUUACCGAUAACUGCAUUACUUCCCUGAGUUGUGGAAGCGGUAUUUAAUUGUAAUUCCCCGAUUCCGUUAAUACUACAUCGUUUAAAUUAUUCCUGUUUAUAUUGGCAUGUACAUUUAAUUCGCGAGUGUGUUGAGUUAUAUAAUUUGCCUUUCGUGUUACCAGCAGCAAUGUGCAGUCGCUAAUUGAGUAUGUUAUAGAGUGUAAGAUUGAUUCGCAUUAUGGGAUGUAUUGCAUUGGAUUCAUUAGGUGAGAAUAUAAUCCUCAUUAUGUUGAUGUUACUGUUUAAUUUAAGUUUGUAUUCAUUUUAGAACCACACUCAUGGAUAUUUAUGCAUAUGUACUUAUGUUCCUGGGUUCUACAUAUAAUCCCACUGCAAGUAAAUAACUAAGGACUGGACAAUGGUGUCUGACUCUUCCUACUAAGUCUAGUACGUCUUCACAGUCCUGACCGACUGGCCGCAGCAUUUCUGCAUCACCUGGACCAAGUUUUAUUGAGGUUAAGUCACCCUACAGUUCAAGGGCAGUUUUUGAUUGAAAAUGAAACAGGUGUGAGGAAUACACUGGAGUGCUCAAUAGCAAAGACCUCAAAAACCAAGACAGAGGUUAGCCCAGAUCAGGCCAGGGAAUAGAUGGUAUCCCAAAAGAUAUAUUUCAAGCAAUAUAAGAAGCAUUGAAGUGUUGACCAAAUUAUGCCAACAAAUAAAAAAAAAACAGCCCCUGACAGAUUAGAAUAGAUUUCUAUUCUGAUACCAAAGAAAGGAGAUCUGAGAAUACACAAACUCAUAUGAUUUUCCUCAUAUUAAAUUUCAAAUAGAUUAUGAUUAAGAUCUUUCUACGCAGAUCAGAACUCUAUAGAAAGAGACUCACAUUAUGUACAGACUGAAGUCUGGAAAUGCCGAAAAACAGGAGACAUUUCAAAGUACAAUGGAUAAUUUAUACAAACAAAUAAAAUCCAAGGAAUACCAACAAGAGAUUACAAAGAGCCUUUGCUGAUUGUAACAUAACCUUUGAUUGUGUUGACCAUGUCAAACUGUGGAAUGCUUCCAGGAAAAAGAAUGUACCAGAGCAGGUUAUUGUCUUUGUAGCAAAGUGGGAAGUUUGGAUCAGUUUGCGUUUGAUUGGCUCAUCUCAGUCCUGGGAGGUGUUUAGUCUCUAAAAUAAAGCGGGCGGCGUGGUAGGAAUAGCACUGGUGCCGGAGGCAGAUGGGUGAGCGCGCAGUGUGGUCAAUUGGCGCACUCUCCACCGUCCCAAAGAAACUGAAGCGGAGUACGCUGGGGAUUCGGCAGUUUACCGGUGGAAGUGGACAUCGUUGCUGUUUUGUCAGUCACGCUAUCAACACAACGACGUACUCUGUGGAUCGUCUGGGUACACUGGGCUGUUUGACUCGAUCAGCGUUGGUACGGUGGGGUAGCCCAGCGCGAAUCAGCAGUACCCAUCUAUUCAUCGCAUUGUGCCUGGCCAAUAGGCUGCCUGAAGUUUUUCUUUAUUUGGGUUUAAUUUGGGUUGAUUGGUUACUGGAUGGAGUGAUUUCAUUUAAUUUUUGUUUCUUUGAUGUUGCGUUUACUCUGAUUUAUUGUUUUGCUUAUUUGGUUAUUAUAUAUUUCGUUGGAGUGUUUUGUUUUUCUUCUUUAUGAUUUUUGGACGUCUCAGUAAUGGACACUAAGGCGCAGGGAAGUGUACUGCUGUUUUAACCCCCUGUCUUGUCUUCCUGCUUGUGUUUCAGGGCUAGUACCUUAGAGCCGCAAGAGCAGAGUCUUCCCUACUGGUGGUGGUGAAUUUCACUUUUGUGCAUGUGCAGUGCAGGUCACCGACAUUAGCCCACUGAGCAUGUGUGUGCUUGCCUGUGUGUGUGUGAUCACGAGAGUGUUUAUGGAGGUCCCGCUUGUGGCGAGUCCCUUGUCCAUCUGGCAGUUGAUACCCUUUAUCUUGCUUAGUCCACAACAUUGGUGCCUCAGUUUGAUGCUUUCUACUUAUUGUGUUAAGCAUAGAAUUACUAUUCUCAUUUAUAUGUAAUAAAAUAAUUUUUUAUCAA